UGGCAAGUAGCUCAGUUGGUAGCAGCAACGGACUGUUAAUCCGUCGGUCACAGGUUCGAGUCCUGUCUUGCCAGCCA
This 77-nucleotide transfer RNA is filed under the name compost metagenome. RNAcentral describes it as "tRNA-Asn". It matches the Rfam family "tRNA". Rfam says of the family: Transfer RNA (tRNA) molecules are approximately 80 nucleotides in length. The record is from RNAcentral.